UGGCCAUAGUGGGGGUCCCUAUGGGGGUCCCCAUGGCCAUGGCCAUGGUGGGGGUCCCCAUGAUGAUGGUGGGGGUCCCUAUGGGGGUCCGUAUGGGGGUCCCCAUGUUGAUGGCCAUGGUGGGGGUCCCCAUGGCCAUAGUGGGGGUCCCUAUGGGGGUCCCCAUGGCUGUGGUGGGGGUCCCUAUGGGGGUCCCCAUGUUGAUGGUGGGGGUCCCUAUGGGGGUCCCCAUGGCCAUAAUGGGGGUCCGUAUGGGGGUCCCCAUGUUGAUGGCCAUGGUGGGGGUCCCCAUGGCCAUAGUGGGGGUCCCUAUGGGGGUCCCCAUGGUGGGGGUCCCCAUGUGAGUGUCCAUGCUGGGGGUCUUCGUGUUGGUGCCCACGACUAAACAUGGCCGUCAAGGUGUGGCCGUGGCCGCUGUCCACAUGGAGCUGGUGCUGACCAUGGCCGAGGUCCUCCCGGUGAUGGCCGAGGUCCUCCCGGUGAUGGCCGAAGUCCUCCCGGUGAUGGCGGAAGUCCUCCCGGUGAUGGCGGAAGUCCUCCUGGUGAUGGCGGUCCCCGUGAGAGGCGGAAGGGAGGAGGCAGAGAGCCAGAGUGGCGGCCAUGAUGGCGGCCAUGUUGGAGGCCGCUGGUUCCCGGGGCUGGAGGACCGUCGCCAUUGAAGCUGUGGGGGGAGAUCUGCCAUUGGGGUCAAUGGUGGGACUAUAGAGAUGGGGGAGAUAGAGCGGCUAUGGGGGGAGAUCUGCCAUUGGGAUCAAUGGUGGGAUCAUAGAGAUGGGGGAGAUAGAGCGGCUAUGGGGAGAGAUCUGCCAUUGGGGUCAAUGGUGGGAUCAUAGAGAUGGGGGAGAUAGAGCGGCUAUGGGGGGAGAUCUGCCAUUGGG
RNAcentral lists this long non-coding RNA (878 nucleotides) under Coturnix japonica (Japanese quail). RNAcentral's name for it is "lncRNA (ENSCJPG00005002010.1)". The record is from RNAcentral. Lineage: Eukaryota; Metazoa; Chordata; Aves; Galliformes; Phasianidae.